This 465-nucleotide ribosomal RNA is filed under the name Vreelandella stevensii. RNAcentral describes it as "partial 16S ribosomal RNA". It matches the Rfam family "Bacterial small subunit ribosomal RNA", at positions 338 to 795 of the family's 1533-position model. The record is from RNAcentral. Lineage: Bacteria; Pseudomonadati; Pseudomonadota; Gammaproteobacteria; Oceanospirillales; Halomonadaceae.
CCUACGGGGGGCUGCAGUGGGGAAUAUUGGACAAUGGGGGGAACCCUGAUCCAGCCAUGCCGCGUGUGUGAAGAAGGCCCUCGGGUUGUAAAGCACUUUCAGUGAGGAAGAACGCCUGGUGGUUAAUACCCAUCAGGAAAGACAUCACUCACAGAAGAAGCACCGGCUAACUCCGUGCCAGCAGCCGCGGUAAUACGGAGGGUGCGAGCGUUAAUCGGAAUUACUGGGCGUAAAGCGCGCGUAGGUGGCUUGAUAAGCCGGUUGUGAAAGCCCCGGGCUCAACCUGGGAACGGCAUCCGGAACUGUCAAGCUAGAGUGCCGGAGAGGAAGGUAGAAUUCCCGGUGUAGCGGUGAAAUGCGUAGAGAUCGGGAGGAAUACCAGUGGCGAAGGCGGCCUUCUGGACUGACACUGACACUGAGGUGCGAAAGCGUGGGUAGCAAACAGGAUUAGAUACCCGGGUAGUC